CUUUCGAGAAUGGUGGAGCAGUGCGCAUUGGGUGGCCGGCGUGGCCUGAUUUGUAUUCGAUUUGUUGGGUCGCACUGCGGAAAAACCUCGGCUCGGGGCCCUGCCUCUGAUGAAGCCUGUGUUGGUAGGGACAUCUGAGACUGUUGAUGAAUGCCAACGGCUCUGAUGGCGGUGCUUGCCGAGUUGCCGAGCGGGUUUCUGUUAAUGCCUUCUGCUCUUGCCUCUUCCCGUCUCUCAGUAAGGCCACGUGAGCCUCUAAAUGGCUGCAUUCCCCAUUGCAGCAUUAGUGCCCUCAGAAUGCUCCUGUGAAAUUUUGAGUGGUGUAGUAAAAGACCUGCAAACAUGAUGGGGAGACGGCAAUGAUUAGAUGUGGGGAAAAAACGAAUUUUGGGAGUUCUUUGAUGGCCUAGCAGGUUGAGGCUCCUGCAUUCUCUGCGCUGUGGUUCUGGCUGCUGCUGUGCCGCGUAGGUUCGAUCCCCGGACCAGGAAUGCCCAGACACUAUACUGCAUGUGUGGCAAAAAAGAAAAUACAAAAGAAAAAAAUCUAAUUUUGAAAAUCCCUAAUCUUUUCUAGGAAUGGUGCUAGGGAUGAAUGCAAUGUGGCUUUUGAUGGCUUCUGAUGGGCAGGUAAGAAACAGCUAAAUGGAGAAGAAUGGGAUCUGCUUAGGUGAUUUUUUUGUUAAGCCUAUGAUGGUUAAAGAGUAGUGGGCAGAAGGAAUUUCUGAAAAAUUCAAUUCUGAGGCUUAAAUUCUUAAGAUAUUAAUGGUUAGCUUAGCAACGCAGUAUGUUUCAUUAGAUUUCCUUUGUUUUCUAGCUAAGCGCCAAAGAUAUGAGAAUCGCUGCUGGGGUGAGUUAUAGAAAUUCCCUCCACCAGGGGUGUUAGGUUGAAAUUCCUUUGUGCCAUAAUGAUGACAUUUUAUUUGCUACUCUUGACAGUGAGGAUGACGAGAAUCCUUACCACCAUUAUUCUAACUGAGGCACACAAAACAGUGGUUUAGAGGACAUAGAAAUUGCUCCUAAGCUUACAUGAAACUGUUUCUUCCCAGGUUGUAAAGCGCAAGCUUAACACUGUAUUUGUGGGCAAAAAGGUGAGAAACCUUUUUAAAGUCUAUAUACCCAGUGCUGUCCAAUUCUUUGUAUUUUUAGGGGUUGACAAAUCACCAAAUCAAUGUUGAUGCUUAAAUUAGCGGUUUGCUCCCCUUUUCAAACCUGAAAUUCUGCACCUUAGUUUUAUACUUAACUUGCAGGGAUCUGAAGAAACAGAUACUGUGAUGGUUGCAUAGUUCAACAGAUUGAAUCGUGAAAGAGAGAACAUUUGACUGAGUGUCUGGGUUAGGAAAACUUUGGCUAAUAGCAUAAGCAAAGUACCACUUCUAAUCUGACUUCUAUUUUUGUAGGUGCUAGGCAGAGUUAGCUGAAAGGUGAAGAGGUAAGUAAAAUUGUAAUUGAACUAAACAUUGGUGACUGGGCAAAGAUGACAGAAUGCCUCUGAUGGGUUUUUAGGACUGCCUUUUAAUACACGUGAAGCAAUCCUACCAUGAAGUGCUUGGACAGUGCUGAAUGCAUUAAGGCCAAAUCCUUGUCUUGUUACCAUAAGGUGUAUUGCUUUGGAAGAGCAGCCUGUGUGAUGAUAAGCAUAUACUGACUGAACAUGAAGGUCUUAUAUUAGCUCUAUCUGAUUUCAGGCAUUUUUUAGGUUUCUGGGGAAUAAUUCAUCUUUGACUACUGUAAAACCACUCUUUAUUUCUUUAGGUGAACUUGUCUGACAUGUCUGGACCAGCCUUUUUAGUGGGUAAGCAUUAAUGUUUAAAGCAAAAUUUAGUAGGCUCAAAACUUAGGGUAAUGCUGACAAGGUAGAAUGCCUAAGCUAAUUUUGUAUGUUUGAUUUGCAAACGUAUGUUGAGCAUGCUUUAGCAGGGUUUUUGUAAUGAUGUUGAGCAAAUGUCUGACCUGAAAUGAGCAUGUAGACAAAUCUAACACUGAAGGACCCUGUGACAAAAAUAAAUGAGAAUUUAAUGUAUGAUUGACCUUUUAGUGAAAGUGUCAUUUCCUUUAUAGGUACCCGGUAUUAUCUGUGGAUGGCUUGUUUGGGGUAAGACAUGAAAACAGUUCUUUGGCUCUUGGCACUUGGGGUUUUUGUUUUUAUAAUGUGCUAGUCUUAGUAAUUGUGAUGGUGUUUUCUGGUGUUGGACAGUUGGAGUAUUGAAGCUAUUUUGAAAUGUGUCUGAAGAAAUAAUUUUUUUCAGGUGCAGAUUUUGAGGACCUUUUGUAUAAAGGUAUGUAUGUAUUUUUAUCAAUUGUACUAGUUAGUAAGCAAAAUGCUGUUAGUGAUGAUUUAUAAAAUUAAACAGAUGGGAAUCUCUCUGAAAAAUAAUGAAGAUUUUAAAAAACUGAAACAGUGUUAAGAAGUUUUUUAAAAAUUAUAUUUCUACCUAUUAAAUUUCAUUAAGUUUCAUUAAAUUCUGCAGGUGUGAAGAGGCCUUGGCUACAAGGCAUUGAUUGGAACAUGCCUUAAAAGGUAUUGUAGCCUUAAGUUAGGUUUCUGUUUUAUGUGAUUUUUUUUUUUAAGCCGAUACAAUGAUGAUAACAUAGUUCAGCAGACUUGACAGUGAUGAGCAAAUAACUGUCUUUCGCUCCUAUCUGAUGUAUCUGGCUGUAACAAUUCUGUUUAUACAGUUUCUCAGAAAUGUUAAUGGAUUUGGAUAAGCCUAAUGACUAAUGGAGAUGUCCUAUACUAUUAAACUUAAGUCAUAGUCAAGCUUAGGGUUACCAAGAGGGAAACUGAAGGCACACUACAUACAAGGUAGCUAACCAGGGACCAACUAUAAUAGCACAGUGUGGUCUACUCAGUGUUAACCUAAAGCUAAUACAACUUAAUUCAACUAUACUCCAAUAAAAACAUUAAAAUUCCAGAAUUACCAAUUGACAUUUAGAUGAAGACAAGGCUGACAUUCUUGUGAGGAAGUUUUUAUGGUAUAUAAUGUACAUAAUGCCAGAUGACUUGUUUAGUUGAUUAUUUUAGAAUCAUUUUUUAGAUCGGCUUGGGAUUCAUAGCAAAGUUAACCACAUACCAUGCACACAAAAUCUAGCACUGGAAUAGUACGUUGGGGUUCACUCAUGUUCUGAGUGGGGACAAGUGCUGACAAACACAACAUACAAAAUAUGUUCACUGUCCUAAAUUUUUUCACAUUUUCAAACAGGCAGAUCUUCUGUUACCCUGAAGAUUUCAAAGUAAGUCAGCCUUUUAUAUAUAGUUAUUAUCUGUAUGUUUGAAUGUAACCAGUGAUGUGAUGAUUCUGCCAAAUGAAUAAGAUGAUAUCACCCAUAAACCGUUCCAUUUUGAUUCUGAGGUUACUAACAAGUAUCACUUAAGUCUUGGGUUAUUUUACUGUGAUCUAACAUGUUCUUUCCUUUUUAGGGCAUUUAUGAGCAGCAGUCAAUGCAACUUAACCAAUUGACAGGUGAGGCUUGAAAAUAUUAGUAUUCUCUUGUUCUAGAAUACAUGAUGAUCUCACCCUAACUUGAACUCUCUCACUGAUUAUGUGUGAUGAUGAUCAAAGAUCUGAUAUUCUGUUUGCCAAUUGCAGUUAGGACUGAAACAAGGAAAUGGGAACUAAAAAUUGCUUCUUUGUUUUUUUGCAGGUAGCUGGAUGGAUGCUUGUGGGAUGGAUAGAAGAAAAGUAAACAACUUUGUAUUUUAAUAAAUGUUUUUUACUUA
RNAcentral lists this long non-coding RNA (3718 nucleotides) under Sus scrofa (pig). Lineage: Eukaryota; Metazoa; Chordata; Mammalia; Artiodactyla; Suidae. The record is from RNAcentral.